Cyanidioschyzon merolae strain 10D is the source of this 1372-nucleotide RNA transcript. RefSeq lists it as hypothetical. The transcript has a single exon. NCBI's taxonomy places the organism in Eukaryota, Rhodophyta, Bangiophyceae, Cyanidiales, Cyanidiaceae. The record is from RefSeq and is a predicted model, not a curated record.
GUGCUAGAAACUCUUUUGUCUACGCGGCUGGACUAGUGCCGAGGCGGAGCGCUCGCUCCAAGUACCCUUAUCCGGAACCCAAACACGCUUGGGGCUCUGUCGCUUCGUCCAGGGGACUAGCAGCGUCUGUUUGCGGUGAUGAUGACAAGCGCUUCCAGACUGCUCCCCAUGCAGUGAUUCCCCAAAAGUCUCUUCGAAGAAAACUUGACGGACACGCUUCUCCUCGACGGCUAGCAGCGUCUCUUUGCGGCGAUGAUGACAAGCGCUUCCAGACUGCUCUCUAUGCGGAGAUUCUCCAAAAGUCUCUUCGAAGAAAACUUGACGGACACGCUUCUCCUCGACGGCUAGCAGCGUCUCUUUGCGGUGAUGAUGACAUGCGCUUCCAGACUGCUCCCCAUGCAGUGAUUCCCCAAAAGUGUCUUCGAAGAAAACUUGACGGACACGCUUCUCCUCGACGGCUAGCAGCGUCUCUUUGCGGCGAUGAUGACAAGCGCUUCCAGACUGCUCUCCAUGCAGUGAUUCCCCAAAAGUCUCUUCGAAGAAAACUUGACGGACACGCUUCUCCUCGACGGCUAGCAGCGUCUGUUUGCGGUGAUGAUGACAAGCGCUUCCAGACUGCUCUCCAUGCAGUGAUUCCCCAAAAGUCUCUUCGAAGAAGGCUUGAAAAACACGCAUAUACGCCCGCAUGAGUGCCGACCCGACGAGUGCGUACCUCACAGGGCUCGCGCGUCCAAGCGAGUCUCAUACAAGACCGGCCGCUCGACGAUCCGUCGGCAGCAUUGACGUCCCCUGACUCAGCCAACAUGAACGCACUUUCACCAGAAUAAGCUUUGAUGCAUCCAGUAGCAGAGGCAGAAGGCUAGUGGUAUCGACACUCUGCCACAGAAAAACUGAUAAUUCGCCAUACCGAGUCGAUGAGCAAUUCGAACGUAUGGACAAGAGCCUCGAGACGCAAUGCAGCUUUGCAGAAACGACGUGUAUGCUGUACAGCGCGGCAUCCUGCCAGGAAGCGCCGUACGCGUCAGGCGCUCGUCAUGCGCCCCAGCGGCGCCCAGGGAUAGCCACGAGGCCGCGGCAUCGCCGAUGCCAAUCGAUCGUCUGUCGCCCGCAAGGCACUGCACAAACGCGGAGCACGGAGCGUAUGCCCCGCGAUCAGUUGCCGUUCAGCAGCAGGCCAAAGCAGGCAACAGCGGCUCUUCUGCUUGCAGCCCGCAUGGUGACAGCAUACCGUCGAUGAUCCCGGAGUCGUCGAUCCAGCGCAACGUGUCGAAGCAGUAGCAGGAGCAGGAGCAGCAGCAGCAGCAGCAGCCACGCAUGCUCUAGCACCCAAGUCGCUCGCAUCGUGACAGAAUACAGCUUUUAUAAAGCUCCA